This 485-nucleotide ribosomal RNA is filed under the name uncultured bacterium. RNAcentral's name for it is "bacterial SSU rRNA". It matches the Rfam family "Bacterial small subunit ribosomal RNA", at positions 87 to 570 of the family's 1533-position model. The record is from RNAcentral.
AAAGCUUAGUGGCGAACGGGUGAGUGACACGUGACCAAUCUGCCCCGGACUGGGGAAUAACAUCGGGAAACUGAUGCUAAUACCACAUAUUGAGAUUUUACCGCAUGGUAGACUCUUGAAAGCUUCGGCGGUCCGGGAUGAGGUCGCGCCCUAUUAGUUUGUUGGUGAGGUAACGGCUCACCAAGACAGCGAUGGGUAGCUGGUCUGAGAGGAUGAUCAGCCACACUGGGACUGAGAUACGGCCCAKACUCCUACGGGAGGCAGCAGUGAGGAAUAUUGCGCAWUGGGCGAAAGCCUGACGCAKCAACGCCGCGUGAAGGAUGAAGGUGCUUUGCAUUGUAAACUUCUGUAAGGAGGGAAGAACUCCCCGCUUUUGGCGGGGCUGACGGUACCUCCAAAGUAAGCACCGGCUAAUUCAGUGCCAKCAGCCGCGGUAAUACUGAAGGUGCAAGCKUUGUCCGGAUUCUACUGGGUGUAAAGGGCGU